UUUAGUACACAAAGUAAUAAUUAAAGAAAUAUAGUGUCUCAAUAUUAAUUUACUAAACCAUUUCAGGAACAUGAGAAUAUGAUUUCUUUCAUUUGUAAGACAAUUUAAAUUGCUAGAAAACAUCUCUUUAAGGUACUUUUUUUUUUUUUUUUCUAUACUGGUUGUUGUCAGUGGUGUAACAACAUGUAAGGGAACUGUCUCAGGGUCUCUUAAAGUUGGCAUUUCAUAUUUUAUUAUAAUUGAAGGAAUCAAAAUAUUUUGAAACACUGGAAAAUUUUUAAUGAGGUGGAGUUAAAAAAAAAACGUUUUGUCACUGUUUUGUUGUUACUGGGGCAUGGAAGAUAAGAAAAAAAAUUGUCAAAAAUCACAAUAACUGUACCACUAAUGUUUUCACUCAUACAAGAUAGUUAUAAGUAUUAGAUUUACUAUUCCUGAUGUUCCCUGGCUAUCUGCUGUGUCCAUCGAGAGGAAUCAAACCCUUAAUUUUAGUGUUGUAAAUCCAAAGACUUACCACAGGUCCACCGGGGAAUAAAUCAAUUGGAAGUUUAUGAUUAUUUGUAGUUGACAGAGCACAGAUAGCCCAUUCUGUAGCUUUGUAUUUAACUUAAAACAACAACAACAAAAAUAUUAAAAAGCUUUUACAUUAAAAAUUGAUCAUUUAUUAUUUCCAAUUUAAAAUAUCAUGAAUAAAAUCCUUUUCUGUUAAAAAAAAUAAUAGAACUACAACAAUUACCUUUGUUAUAUCAAUAAAACUUGGAAAGUGAAAAAUGCAUAGCAAGAUUCAUAAAGAACAGUAAAAAUAAUAUUACAUGUUAUUUUGGUGGAGCUUAAGGCAAAGUAGUUUUGGGAACUUUAACGAACUGCAAUUGCCCGUUUUUUUU
Molecule: long non-coding RNA, 881 nt
Organism: Limulus polyphemus (Atlantic horseshoe crab)
Lineage: Eukaryota; Metazoa; Arthropoda; Merostomata; Xiphosura; Limulidae
Exons: 2
Source: RefSeq, a predicted model, not a curated record